RNAcentral lists this ribosomal RNA (465 nucleotides) under Vreelandella stevensii. RNAcentral's name for it is "partial 16S ribosomal RNA". It matches the Rfam family "Bacterial small subunit ribosomal RNA", at positions 338 to 795 of the family's 1533-position model. The record is from RNAcentral. Lineage: Bacteria; Pseudomonadati; Pseudomonadota; Gammaproteobacteria; Oceanospirillales; Halomonadaceae.
CCUACGGGGGGCAGCAGUGGGGAAUAUUGGACAAUGGGGGCAACCCUGAUCCAGCCAUGCCGCGUGUGUGAAGAAGGCCCUCGGGUUGUAAAGCACUUUCAGUGAGGAAGAACGCCUGGUGGUUAAUACCCAUCAGGAAAGACAUCACUCACAGAAGAAGCACCGGCUAACUCCGUGCCAGCAGCCGCGGUAAUACGGAGGGUGCGAGCGUUAAUCGGAAUUACUGGGCGUAAAGCGCGCGUAGGUGGCUUGAUAAGCCGGUUGUGAAAGCCCCGGGCUCAACCUGGGAACGGCAUCCGGAACUGUCAAGCUAGAGUGCAGGAGAGGAAGGUAGAAUUCCCGGUGUAGCGGUGAAAUGCGUAGAGAUCGGGAGGCAUACCAGUGGCGAAGGCGGCCUUCUGGACUGACACUGACACUGAGGUGCGAAAGCGUGGGUAGCAAACAGGAUUAGAUACCCCAGUAGUC